CCAGACUCCUACGGGAGGCAGCAGUGAGGAAUAUUGGUCAAUGGUCGGGAGACUGAACCAGCCAAGCCGCGUGAGGGAUGAAGGUACAGAGUAUCGUAAACCUCUUUUGUCAGGGAGCAAAGGGCGCCACGUGUGGCGUUUUGCGAGUACCUGAAGAAAAAGCAUCGGCUAACUCCGUGCCAGCAGCCGCGGUAAUACGGAGGAUGCGAGCGUUAUCCGGAUUUAUUGGGUUUAAAGGGUGCGCAGGCGGCACGGCAAGCCGGCGGUCAAAUCGCGGGGCUCAACCCCGCCCAGCCGUCGGAACUGCCGGGCUAGAGUGGGCGAGAAGUGCGCGGAAUGCGUGGUGUAGCGGUGAAAUGCAUAGAUAUCACGCAGAACUCCGAUUGCGAAGGCAGCGCACCGGCGCCCUACUGACGCUCAGGCACGAAAGCGUGGGUAUCGAACAGGAUUAGAUACCCUAGUAAA
This 465-nucleotide ribosomal RNA is filed under the name uncultured bacterium. RNAcentral's name for it is "bacterial SSU rRNA". It matches the Rfam family "Bacterial small subunit ribosomal RNA", at positions 331 to 794 of the family's 1533-position model. The record is from RNAcentral.